Trichoplusia ni (cabbage looper) is the source of this 436-nucleotide long non-coding RNA. RefSeq lists it as uncharacterized. The record is from RefSeq and is a predicted model, not a curated record. The transcript has 2 exons. Lineage: Eukaryota; Metazoa; Arthropoda; Insecta; Lepidoptera; Noctuidae.
CUUAUUUCUUCUAACCACGCGGACGAAGUCGCGGGCAGCAGCUAGUAAGGAUAAACAACGCUAUCUACUGCAGCAGACGCUACCGGCGCCCACGCAGCUGCGGAUGUGACGUCACUUAUGGCGCCAAAUACAAAAAAAUCAUGAAAAAAAAAUGAAAAGUUUUUUCAUGUUUUCUCGAUGUGUCGACAUGAAAAUAUUGAUAUUCAUGAAGUGUAAAUAUCAUUUUAUUUAUAGCAGUCCUUGGUAGGCGCGGACUUUGUUCCGUAACUUCUGCACUUGUCCUAUUGACAUUAUUUUGUGAUUAGUCUAUUAAUUGGUAUUGAGUGGUGAUUACUGCGGCGAUUAUUUUUGUAAUGAGGAGUGAUAAGGAGUCUUUGGCAGUUUAUUGCUACCUACACUGUGUCAUAGAUAUUCUUAUAUAAAUGUAUUGAUUCGA